Molecule: ribosomal RNA, 488 nt
Filed under: uncultured bacterium
Lineage: Bacteria
Description: partial 16S ribosomal RNA
Rfam family: Bacterial small subunit ribosomal RNA
Source: RNAcentral
GACGAACGCUGGCGGCGUGCUUAACACAUGCAAGUCGAACGGAAAGGCCCUGCUUUUGUGGGGUGCUCGAGUGGCGAACGGGUGAGUAACACGUGAGUAACCUGCCCUUGACUUUGGGAUAACUUCAGGAAACUGGGGCUAAUACCGGAUAGGAGCUCCUGCUGCAUGGUGGGGGUUGGAAAGUUUCGGCGGUUGGGGAUGGACUGGCGGCGGAUCAGCUUGUUGGUGGGGUAGUGGCGUACCAAGGCGUUGACGGGUAGCUGGCCGGAGAGGGGGAUCGGCCACACUGGGACUGAGACACGGCCCAGACUCCUACGGGAGGCAGCAGUGGGGAAUUUUGGACAAUGGGCGAAAGCCUGAUCCAGCCAUGCCGCGUGCGGGAUGAAGGCCUUCGGGUUGUAAACUGCUUUUGUAGGGAAAGAAAAGCCUCUUUCUAAUAAAGAGGGGUCAUGACGGUACCGAAAGAAUAAGCACCGGCUAACUACGUG